RNAcentral lists this long non-coding RNA (804 nucleotides) under Triticum aestivum (bread wheat). Its description in RNAcentral is "long non-coding RNA (TAES_LNC025172)". The record is from RNAcentral. Lineage: Eukaryota; Viridiplantae; Streptophyta; Magnoliopsida; Poales; Poaceae.
CCCCAUUUACAUUUUUUAUAAUUAAAAAGACACAUGAUGCACAAAGGCGAUAAUUCUUUUGGUUUUAACUUUUUUUCACCAAAUGUUGAUUUACUAGAAGCCGGCAACUAGUGAUUUGGCUAAUGGGAUGCACGGUUCCACCUUAUAGAUUACAUGUGGUUUAACACAUAAAGCAACAAGAGGUCUUUGUGUAAGUGCCUUGACUAGCUGGCACAACAUAUACUACAUGAAAGUGCCCAGUAAAGGGAUUCAAAUUUACAGAGCAACUCGACUGAUGCUUGCUGCACAUGAUCAGCUUCACAAGCGACUCGGUCAGCAGGUUGACAAUAUAGGCAUGGCAAUAAAAUUCACAUUAGUCAUAGCGAAAUUCUCGUUCAAGAAAUUCCAGCAAGUCUGUUCCUUCCUUCCGUUCAUGCCACACCGGAUAGCACCAAUAUGGCUUAGGCACAGGCCAUCUGUUAUGAUGAAAUCAUAAGUAAGUCCAUGAAUAGUGCAUAUCUGAAUCAAGGUCUUGUUGAAUGCAUAAUAAUAUUUUAAAAACCUGUUUGGUGCGGGAACUUUGGUAAAAUCAGCAGUCCUACACAUAAACCAAAAGGUAUAGUUUUAACUAGUUAAUAUGUAAGACAAGAGGCGAAAUUUAUUGAAGAUGAUGAUGAUGAUGAUGAUAGAAAACAUACCCUUUUGCAUCAAAAUUCCCCAAGAGUUUCACAAUUGUAUCCCGUGGCAUGUAGGGAGUUUCUUCCAAGCCAUAGAAGUUCAUGCCAAUAAAGUUCCCAUCAGAAUCAAUAAGAGGGCCCCCAAUCC